GACGAACGCUGGCGGCGUGCUUAACACAUGCAAGUCGAACGGUAAGGCCCUUCGGGGUACACGAGUGGCGAACGGGUGAGUAACACGUGGGUGAUCUGCCCUGCACUUCGGGAUAAGCCUGGGAAACUGGGUCUAAUACCGGAUAGGACUCCGGACUGCAUGGUCUGGGGUGGAAAGCUUCUGCGGUGUGGGAUGGGCCCGGGGCCUAUCAGCUUGUUGGUGGGGUGAUGGCCUACCAAGGCGACGACGGGUAGCCGGCCUGAGAGGGUGACCGGCCACACUGGGACUGAGAUACGGCCCAGACUCCUACGGGAGGCAGCAGUGGGGAAUAUUGCACAAUGGGCGCAAGCCUGAUGCAGCGACGCCGCGUGAGGGAUGACGGCCUUCGGGUUGUAAACCUCUUACAGCAUCGACGAAGCGAAAGUGACGGUAGGUGCAGAAGAAGGACCGGCCAACUACGUGCCAGCCGCCGCCGUAA
RNAcentral lists this ribosomal RNA (478 nucleotides) under uncultured bacterium. RNAcentral describes it as "partial 16S ribosomal RNA". It matches the Rfam family "Bacterial small subunit ribosomal RNA", at positions 28 to 523 of the family's 1533-position model. The record is from RNAcentral.